CUUCUUCUUCUUCUCCUCUCCUCUUUUUCUCUUCUUCUUCUUUCCUAAAACUAAACUAAACCUAAACCUAAAACUAAAAAAACAGAAAAAGGAAAAAACUAAAUCUAAACCUAAAACUAAACUAAAACUAAACCUAUAAACCUAAAACUAAUCCUAAAACUAAAACUAAAUCUAAACUAAACAUAAAAGCUAAAACUAAAAAAACAAAAAAAGGAAAAAAAGGAAGCAAAGACUCACCUGGGUGGAGGAGGGGGGCGGUGCGNNNNNNNNNNUGUGUCGGGGUGUUGGGUCGUGGUCUGGGUACCGUGUCGGGUCGGGUUUUUUUUCCUUUUCUUCUUCUUCCUCUUCUUCCUUUUUUUCCUUCUUCUUCUUCUUCUUCUUCUUCUUCCUCCUUUCCUUUUUCCUCUUCUUCUUCUCCUCCUCUCCUCUUUUUUCUUCUUCUUCUUCCUCUUCUUCUUUUUUCUUCUCCUCCUCCUCUUCUUCUUCUUCUCCUCUCCUCUUUUUCACUUCUUCUUCUUUCCUAAAAUUAAACUAAACCUAAACCUAAAACUAAAAAAAUAGAAAAAGGAAAAAACUAAAUCUAAACCUAAAACUAAACUAAAUCUAAACCUAAAACUAAACUAAAACUAAACCUAUAAACCUAAAACUAAUCCUAAAACUAAAACUAAAUCUAAACUAAACAUAAACCUAAAACUAAAAAAACAGAAAAAAGGAAAAAAAGGAAGCAGAGACUCACCUGGGUGGAGGAGCGGGGCGGUGCGGCCUGGGGCGGCGG
RNAcentral lists this long non-coding RNA (775 nucleotides) under Triticum aestivum (bread wheat). RNAcentral's name for it is "long non-coding RNA (TAES_LNC005411)". Lineage: Eukaryota; Viridiplantae; Streptophyta; Magnoliopsida; Poales; Poaceae. The record is from RNAcentral.